This 873-nucleotide ribosomal RNA is filed under the name uncultured organism. RNAcentral's name for it is "bacterial SSU rRNA". It matches the Rfam family "Bacterial small subunit ribosomal RNA", at positions 610 to 1495 of the family's 1533-position model. The record is from RNAcentral.
UAACUGUGGAAUUGCCUUUGAUACUGCUCACCUUGAGUCCAGCUGAGGUAGGCGGAAUGUAGUAUGUAGCGGUGAAAUGCUUAGAUAUACUACAGAACACCGAUUGCGAAGGCAGCUUACCAAACUGGCACUGACGCUCAGGCACGAAAGCGUGGGGAGCGAACAGGAUUAGAUACCCUGGUAGUCCACGCCGUAAACGUUGAUCACUCGUUGUUGGCAAUACACCGUCAGCGACCUAGCUAAUGCGCUAAGUGAUCCACCUGGGGAGUACGAUCGCAAGGUUGAAACUCAAAGGAAUUGACGGGGGCCCGCACAAGCGGAGGAGCAUGUGGUUUAAUUCGAUGAUACGCGAGGAACCUUACCUGGGCUUAAAUGUAGUGUGCAUUCCCGUGAAAACGGGAUUUCCUUCGGGACCCACUACAAGGUGCUGCAUGGUUGUCGUCAGCUCGUGCCGUGAGGUGUCGGGUUAAGUCCCAUAACGAGCGCAACCCCUAUCUUUAGUUGCUAACAGGUCAUGCUGAGGACUCUAAAGAAACUGCCCGCGCAAGCGGUGAGGAAGGUGGGGAUGACGUCAAAUCAGCACGGCCCUUAUGUCCAGGGCUACACACGUGCUACAAUGGCAGGUACAGUGGGCAGCUAUCACGCAAGUGAAUGCUAAUCUCUAAAACCUGUCUCAGUCCGGAUUGGAGUCUGCAACCCGACUCCAUGAAGCUGGAUUCGCUAGUAAUCGCACAUCAGCCAUGGUGCGGUGAAUACGUUCCCGGGCCUUGUACACACCGCCCGUCAAGCCAUGGAAGCUGGGAGUACCUGAAGUCUGUAACCGCAAGGAGCGGCCUAGGGUAAAACCGCUAACUGGGACUAAGUCGGAACAAG